Molecule: transfer-messenger RNA, 392 nt
Filed under: Leptolyngbyaceae cyanobacterium LF-bin-369
Lineage: Bacteria; Bacillati; Cyanobacteriota; Cyanophyceae; Leptolyngbyales; Leptolyngbyaceae
Rfam family: transfer-messenger RNA
About the family: Bacterial tmRNA, also known as 10Sa RNA or SsrA, is named for its dual tRNA and mRNA-like properties. Its role is to liberate the mRNA from a stalled ribosome.
Source: Rfam by way of RNAcentral
GGGGCUGUAACGGUUUCGACAGGUUGGCGAACGUUAUGCUGUGAUACAGGCCGAGGGGGAGUCCACCCUCGUAAAUCUAGGCUCAAAACAAAUAGAUGCAAACAACAUCAAAACCUUCUCUCGUAAAGCCGCACCAGUUGCAGCCUAAAUAACCUUUAAUCUAGGUUCGAGAGCCUCUGAUUCGACUCCGUUAACGAUCGAGGAAUAACCCCAACGGAUGCUGUUGUGCUCGUUUAUCGGGUUGGAGACCAACUUAAGAUCAAAUCCGGGAAUCCCUCCGACGGGAUAUAAUGUCGGAUUCCCGCUUCGAGGAUUAGAGAAGCUAAGCCUGUGAAUGAACAGUAUAUUAAUAUCCGAUUUGGACACGGGUUCGACUCCCGUCAGCUCCAUUA